Molecule: long non-coding RNA, 5316 nt
Filed under: Sus scrofa (pig)
Lineage: Eukaryota; Metazoa; Chordata; Mammalia; Artiodactyla; Suidae
Description: lncRNA (ENSSSCG00055001096.1)
Source: RNAcentral
UUUUUUUUUUCUGGGAAAUACAAAAUAUCUUUGGGUAAAUGGACAGUAUGACACAUUUUCAUAUAUUUUUAAAAAUACUACAUCGUGGUCCUUCACACCACACACACACAAUUUUUUUCACAACAUUCUCCUUGUCUUCGAGGAUUUCACUCCAGGAGUAUCACAGGAAAGCCCAUUAACAAUUCCUGGGAAAUAAAAAUAGAAUCUGGGUACCAAAAUAAAGUCUAACCUUUUUGUUGCUUUGUGGUUAAUCCAGUUUCACUUGCUCACAGGGUGCCCCACGCAGUGGUCUUGCUUCUGGCUCUUCAGGCUGGAGCGCUUAGUGUAAAUAAGCUGAGCGGACACCUCAGCUCCUGGUACGAGGCGCUGUGCAAAAGCACUGCUAGGGCCCUGCGAUUCAAGGUGGUGGCGGUAGGUCUAGCGCUGCACGCAUGCGCACUGAGAUCUGGAGCAAGACCAAAACAGGCACACCUGCUGGUAAGAACCCCAGCUGCUCCCUGCUGGCAAUAACCCUAUAAAUCAGCCCUGCCCAAGGCCUGUCAGAGGUCAAGUACUCUGGAGUGCCAGUUCUCAUCAUCUCUCCAUUUUCUGUCAAAGACUAAAGCUUUCUUUUACUUCUAAAUUAAACUCAGUCCAGUUCUAUUGGCUUAAAUAACACCAAGCAGAAGGACCCUUGUUGGGGACCUAUCCAGGAAGGUUGAUAACAGUUAUUUAUAGUGGUGUUCCCUGAAAUGAGAGGACUCAUAGCUUGAUACCUUUCAUUCCCUCACUUCAUCUUUCCCACUCCCGACACCCGUAAUAUUUAAAAUCACAAAUUAAAAGAAAGUAGUAAUUUUGCCCCUGUAUUUAUAAUGGAUAGACGGACUUAAAAGAAUUCUCCUUUACUUUGAAUACCGCAAAGCUCAAAAAUAUCUGCCUCAGAAUGGUCCCUCUCUGCACUUAUUUUUCUAGUAGCAUCCUCAUAGUAGUAUUUAAGGGAGAUCUUAAUUAAUAGACAUGUAUCCUGGAUUGAAUAUAAUUGAUGUCAACAGAAAACUGGCCCAUGUAACACAUACAAACAUUUCUAACUGAACGAAUGUAAGUCCAACGGUAUCUUUAAAAAAGAAAGUUGGAGUUCUCCGUUGUGACUCAGCAGGUUAAGAACCCGACAUAGUGUCCUUGAGAAUGCCGGUUCAAUCUCUGGCUUUGCUCAAUGGGUUAAAAAAUGGUUGUUGCCUUGGCUGUGUCAUAGGCUUACAGCUGCAGGUCUGAUUCGACCCCUAACCCAGGAAUUUCCAUAUGCUACAGCUGUGGCCAUAAAAAUGAAAAAAAAAAAAGAAAGCUAAUUUAUUCUACUAGAGAAAUUUGAAACACAUUAAGUCAAGUCUUAGUGCAGGCAGCCUUGUCUAUGUUUUUCUAGGUAGCAUUGGAGUAAAUUAACCAUCACCAAAUGUCUAGAUUGGUUAAAAAUUUACAGAUAUUUCUUUUUAAAUGCUAAUCAUUCAAUUUGCCCUUACAAAUCCACAGCAUACUCAAGCAGCUCGCUUAUGAACACAGAUAAUUGCCUACUGCUCCGGAGAGAAAAUAGACAAACUGAGGUCAGAAACGUGUUUUUUAACUAGUAUAAAUAACCUCCAAAAGGCACUGCAGUAAAGAAAGAAAAUCAAAUUAUAGAGAAGAUGAAAGAAAAUGAGAUUGAAAAAUACCCAAAAUUUCUGAUUUCUGAUCCAAUGAUUAAACUAACAAAAGGAAAGAAAGAAAGCUAAAGAAAGAACUUUCUGCUUCUGAUUCCACUUGUAAGGAGCAUGGAAUAUUAGCUGUUCAGCCUAAUAACAAGUGAAAAGCUUAACAGACUGAGAAGCCAACAAACUCUUCUUGGAUCCUUAAGAAAGGAAAAGACACAGGGAAAAUCAGUACCCUCAAGUUUGGAGAAAGAGAGAGACAGGUGAAUACAAGGAGUCAGGGUUUACUGAAACAAAGACACAUGAGUAGAAACUAUUGCAGGAACCAAUGCCAGAGUGGAAAACCUAAAUUACAUUGCAGAAUUGCUAGAGGUUCAGUAUGGGCAACUCUGGGAGUUAGAAACUCUAUGGGGACCCAGUCACUGGAAGGGGGAGGGCUACAAUUUGUGAGAUUUACCUUCAGGGGCUUGAGGAGGUUCUCACAAUAAAUAUCACAAAAAAUCCCACCAUACUUCUAGGAGGAGAAGGAGAAAGGAACCAUUGUGAUGUAAACCAGAUUGCUAUGCUUUUCAUAGUAAGGGCUGCCCUCAGGUGAAAUUCGUUAACUAGAGCCUAACCUGCUGGGUCUUAUCAGAGCCUAACUGACAUGGGAGAAGGGAAAUACCAACUGCAGUCCACUCCACCUUACAUAUGGAAGAAGGGAAAAAAACAAUACCAGCCUAUUCUGCUAAUGCUGUCUCACAUAAUGAGGGAGAAAAACACUGAGAAACAUUUGUAAAGUUCACAGUCCAGAGGCAUAAACUCAUUAAAAGACUGAGACAUAAUUAUAGGGCAAUAGAGCUCGUCCUCUUCUCCCAGCACCUUAGGCCACAUUAACAAAUGCUAUUUACAGAAGUCCCUCCUACCUGGUACAUCGAGUCUUAACUAUCAAGAAAAAAUGCAAGCCAUACUAAAAGACAAAAACACAAUCUGAAGAGACAGAGCAAGCAUCAGAACCAGAUGUGUUCAAGUAUGUUGGAAUUACCAGACUAGGAAUUUAAAACAGCUAUGAUUAGUGUGUUAGUAAUCCUAACAAAGUAAACAGCAUGCAAGAGCAGAUGGCCAAUGUAAACAGAGAGAUGAAAAUUAUAAGAAGGGGCCAAAAAGAAAUCCUAGACAUCAAAUGAAGAAUAAUAAUGAAGAAUGCCUUUGAUGGGCUUAUUAUUAGACAACACAGCUGAGGAUAGAAUCUCUGACUUGAAGGAUGUAUCAAUAAAACUGAAAAACAAAGAGAACAAAGGCUAAAAAAAAAGAAAAAAGAAACAACAUCCAAGGACUAUGAAGCAACUACAGAAAUGCAACAUAAAUGUUCUGAGAAUACUGGAAGGAGAAAAAAGAAACAAACAAAAAUAUUUGAAACAAUGAAAGAAUUUCCCCCAAAUUAAUGUCAGACACCAAUUGAUAGAUCCAGAAGGCUCAUAAAACACCAAGAAGAAUAAAUACCAGGAAAAAUUAUAUCUAGGCAUAUCAUUUCAAAAAAUAGGAAAUCAAAGAUAAAGGUAGAAUCCUGAAAGAAGCCUGAGGAAAAAAUACAUUAAACCAUAGAAGAACAAAGAUAGGAAUUAUGUCCAAUGUCUCUUCAACAACCAUGUAAGCAAUAAGAGAGUGGAGUGAAUGUUUAUGUUGGGGGAGAAAGCACAAAGUUAGAAUUAUGUACCCUGCACAAUUAUUCUUCAAAAGAGAAGGAAAAGUAAAAACUUUCUCAGUCCUUAAUUUAUCUACAGAUUCAAUGCAAAUCAAAAUCCCAGCAUAUUAUUUUCCAUAUAUUGACAAAUUGACUCUAAAAUUUAUAUGGAGAGGCAAAAGACUCAGAAUAGCCACCAAAAUAUUUAAGGAGAAGAUAAAGUUGGAAGAAUGACAUUGCCCAACAUCAAGGCAUAAUAUAAAGCUACAAUAAUUAAAAGUGUGGUAUCAGUGAAAAAAUAAAUAAAUAAAUGGAACAGAAUAGUGAGGUGAGAAAUAGGCCCACAUCUGGUUAUUGACAAAAGAACAAAGAGAAGACAAUUGAGCAAAUAUAGUUUUUUUUCAGCAGAUAAUGCUGAAACACCUGUAUAUCUACAUGUAAACAAUGAAUCAGAAUACAGACCAUUCACCUUUCACAAAACUUAACUCAAAAUGCUUCAUAGACCUAAAUGUAAAAUACAAAACUAUGAAACUUCUAGAAGAUAACAUAGGAGAAGACCUAGAUGAUUUUGGGUGUGGUGAUGAAAUUUUAAAUACAAAACCAAAGGCAAGAUCCAUGAAAGAAAUCAUUGAUAAGCUAGAUUUCAUUAAAAUGGAAAACUUAGACUCUGUGAAAGACAAUGUAAAGCGUAUGAAAAGACAAGCCACAGACUAGGAGACAACACUUGCAAAAGACACAUCUGCAAAAGAACUGCUAUCCAAAAUAUGCAAAUUCAACAAUAAGAAAACAUCCUGAUUAAAAAUUAAAACAAAGACUUUAUUAGACACCUCACCAAAGAAGAUAUAUAGAUAGCAAAUAAACAUAUGAAAAAAUACUUCACAUCAUAUGUCAUCAAGGAAAUACAAGUUAAAACAACAAGAUACCACUGCAUCCCUAUUAGAAUGUCCAAAAUCUGCAACACUGAUAACACCAGAUGCUGUCAAGGGUGUGGAGCAACAGGAUCUCUCAUUCACCGCUGGUAUAUAUGAAAAAUGGAACAGAUACUCUGGAAGACAGUCUGGAAGUUCCUUACAAAACUAAAUAUGCUCUUACCAUACAAUUCAACAAUCAUGCUCCACGGUAUUUACCCAAAGAAUUGAAUAACUAUGCCCACACAAUAACCUGCACAACAAAGUGUAUAGUAGCUUUAUUCAUAAUUGCCAAAACUUAGAAGCAAACAGUAUGUCCUUUGAUAGGUGAAUAAAUAACUGAUUCAUCAUGACAAAAGAACAUUACUCAGUGCAAAAAAAUCAAAAUUAUCUAUCAAUACAUGGAGGAACCUUAAAUGCAUAUUACUAAGUGAAAUAAGGCAAUCUGAGAAACUAUAUACUGUGUUAUUCCAACUAUUACAUUACAGAAAAAGCAAAACUAUGGAGACAGUAAAAAGAUCAUUGGUGGCCAGGAGUUUGGUUUGGGAAAAUAAUGAAUAGGUAGAACUCAGAGGAGUUUUAAGGCAGCGAAAAUAUUCUAUGAUACCACAAUGAUGGCUAUACAUCACUGUACAUUUGUCCAAGCUCAUAGAAUGUACAAUGCCAACAGUGAACUCUCAUAUAAAUUAUGGACUUUGGUGAUUAUGUGUCAAUGUAGGUUCAUUGUAACAGACAUACCGCUCCGAUGGGUGACAUUGAUAGCGGGGGAGGCUAUGCAUAGAUAGGUUUAGAGGCUGUGUGGGAAAUCUGUGUACCUUCUACCCAAUUUUCUUGUGAACCUAAAACUGCUCUAAAAAUAAAUAGAAGAAUUUUAAUCAAAACCUUAAAGUCUUUGUCUCUAUUGCUUUCCCUUAAUACUUUCUUUUAAAUAGAAGAAUUUUAAUCAAAACCUUGAAGUCUUUGUUCUAUUGCUUUCCCUUAAUACUACACAGUGACACUAAGUUCCUAUGAAUUCCCAGUGUUCCUUUAACUGCAAAUGAAGAUACCUCUGUCUCAUAGCUUAUCUGGUGCUCAGGUCAUCCUG